CCGUGAAACGACUCCACGCCGAUGAUAGUGCGGAUUACCCGUGUGAAAGUAGGUAAUCGUCAGGC
This 65-nucleotide ribosomal RNA is filed under the name Paraburkholderia sp. BL18I3N2. Lineage: Bacteria; Pseudomonadati; Pseudomonadota; Betaproteobacteria; Burkholderiales; Burkholderiaceae. The record is from RNAcentral.